Pseudophryne corroboree (corroboree frog) is the source of this 852-nucleotide long non-coding RNA. RefSeq lists it as uncharacterized. NCBI's taxonomy places the organism in Eukaryota, Metazoa, Chordata, Amphibia, Anura, Myobatrachidae. The record is from RefSeq and is a predicted model, not a curated record. The transcript has 2 exons.
CCUCAGGUUGUUGCCAUGGAAAUGGAUGAGCGUCUCUCCAGCCUCCAGGACCGGAAAAUUAUGGACACUGUCAGUCCAGUGUCCAGCCGGCGCGGCCCCUGCGUGCAGCUCUGCUGGGCUCCUUUGUGGGUGAUGUGUCCGUGUGUAUACUGUCGGCAAAGCCAAGGCAGUAUAAGGAUGUGGGCAUGCGAGCGAUAGGCACUGGGAGUCGGACGAUUAUGUAUCAUCAUUGACCACUUUCACCCCAUGAGAGUCUGAGCCGCCAGUAAAUGUCAACUACGUGACCAUGGUAACUGUCACCGCUAUGCUUUUGAAUUAAAGUAAAGGAGGAAGCUCUAAGAAGCGCCGCAUUGGAACGCGGUGGAACGCAAAUACAACUUCCGGGUAAUACCGGAAGCGAGCGGACCGCACGCGUACAUAUGUAUGGAACACGGUGGAACGCAUCCAUCCGGAAACCGGAAGUGAUGUAAUGUGAAGUACGGCUCCGUUUUGCUUCUUUCAUUGGCUGGUUUGAAUCUGGGCGCCCAUUCUCAGGUGGGGUGGGGGUGGUCUUCAUAAUGUUUGUGGGUAUAAAAACCCAUUCAGUUUGUACUCCACCAUGCUUCUGAUGAAGGACUUCUAAGUCCGAAACGCGUAAAGCAGGUGGAUUUCUUUGGACUCUGGACUUUUGGACUUACCUCUGGAAACAUCUUGGGAACGGUGAUAUCUUCCUUUGACGGUUGGACCGGCUGGUUCCGAAUCUAUCUGUCGUGAGAAUCAUCUUACCCUAUUGAGGAGGUUCUAUAUGCUUUGUUAUGUUUUAUUUAAUGUGAGUGCAAUUCUGUAAUAAAUUCAGUUUUAGUUUUUAACCAA